GACGAACGCUGGCGGCGUGCUUAACACAUGCAAGUCGAACGAAGCUUGAUUACGGAUUCUUCGGAUGAAGUAUGAUAUGACUGAGUGGCGGUCGGGUGAGUAACGCGUGAGUAACCUGCCCUUCAGAGGGGGAUAGCGUUUGGAAACGAACGGUAAUACCGCAUAAUGUAUUUUGACCGCAUGAUCGAAAUACCAAAGAUUUAUCGCUGAAGGAUGGACUCGCGUCUGAUUAGGUAGUUGGUGGGGUAACGGCCUACCAAGCCGACGAUCAGUAGCCGGACUGAGAGGUUGAUCGGCCACAUUGGGACUGAGACACGGCCCAGACUCCUACGGGAGGCAGCAGUGGGGAAUAUUGCACAAUGGGCGCAAGCCGGAUGCAGCAACGCCGCGUGAAGGAAGACGGUUUUCGGAUUGUAAACUUCUGUUCUUAGUGAAGAAUAAUGACGGUAGCUAAGGAGCAAGCCACGGCUAACUACGUG
Molecule: ribosomal RNA, 479 nt
Filed under: uncultured bacterium
Lineage: Bacteria
Description: partial 16S ribosomal RNA
Rfam family: Bacterial small subunit ribosomal RNA
Source: RNAcentral